This 242-nucleotide ribosomal RNA is filed under the name uncultured bacterium. RNAcentral's name for it is "partial 16S ribosomal RNA". It matches the Rfam family "Bacterial small subunit ribosomal RNA", at positions 93 to 334 of the family's 1533-position model. The record is from RNAcentral.
GACCGGCGCACGGGUGAGUAACACGUAUGCAACCUACCUACAACAGGGGGAUAACCCGGAGAAAUCCGGACUAAUACCGCAUAACACAGGGAUGCCGCAUGGCAAUAUUUGUUAAAGAUUUAUCGGUUGUAGAUGGGCAUGCGUUCCAUUAGGUAGUUGGAGAGGUAACAGCUCCCCAAGCCUGCGAUGGAUAGGGGAACUGAGAGGUUUAUCCCCCACACUGGAACUGAGACACGGACCAG